This 253-nucleotide ribosomal RNA is filed under the name uncultured bacterium. RNAcentral's name for it is "partial 16S ribosomal RNA". It matches the Rfam family "Bacterial small subunit ribosomal RNA", at positions 524 to 776 of the family's 1533-position model. The record is from RNAcentral.
GACAGAGGGUGCAAACGUUGUUCGGAAUUACUGGGCGUAAAGCGCGUGUAGGCGGUCAUGCAAGUCGGGUGUGAAAGCCCGGGGCUCAACCCCGGAAGUGCAUUCGAUACUGCGUGGCUAGAGUACUGGAGAGGAUGGUGGAACUCUCGGUGUAGAGGUGAAAUUCGUAGAUAUCGGGAGGAACACCAGUGGCGAAGGCGGCGACCUGGGCAGAUACUGACACUGAGGUGCGAAAGCGUGGGGAGCAAACAGG